GAUGAACGCUGGCGGCGUGCCUAAUACAUGCAAGUCGAGCGAACAGACGAGGAGCUUGCUCCUCUGACGUUAGCGGCGGACGGGUGAGUAACACGUGGAUAACCUACCUAUAAGACUGGGAUAACUUCGGGAAACCGGAGCUAAUACCGGAUAAUAUAUUGAACCGCAUGGUUCAAUAGUGAAAGACGGUUUUGCUGUCCCUUAUAGAUGGAUCCGCGUCGCAUUAGUUAGUUGGUAAGGUAACGGCUUACCAAGGCGACGAUGCGUAGCCGACCUGAGAGGGUGAUCGGCCACACGGGAACUGAGACACGGUCCAGACUCCUACGGGAGGCAGCAGUAGGGAAUCUUCCGCAAUGGGCGAAAGCCUGACGGAGCAACGCCGCGUGAGUGAUGAGGGUCUUCGGAUCGUAAAACUCUGUUAUUAGGGAAGAACAAAUGUGUAAGUAACUAUGCACGUCUUGACGGUACCUAAUCAGAAAGCCACGGCUAACUACGUG
This 497-nucleotide ribosomal RNA is filed under the name uncultured bacterium. RNAcentral describes it as "partial 16S ribosomal RNA". It matches the Rfam family "Bacterial small subunit ribosomal RNA", at positions 28 to 507 of the family's 1533-position model. The record is from RNAcentral.